CUCGCAAACAUGGACAGAUUAAAUACACUACAUUCUGUCCUUUUCACCAUCUGCUUCUUGCUUAUUUUAUUUUAAGCUGCAUGACUAAACUUUAUUAUCUGACGGACGGGUGAAGGUGGGCCCUGCUGCUGCUGUGCUCUACUCCUUGAGGCUUGGAAUGAAUGCAAAGUUGCAGGGCUGAUCUGCAAAGGGAUUAGAAAUCUCCGGACCAUUAGGAGACGUUGACUUGUUGAAGACGGAUGGAAAGCCGAGAGCCUGCCCACCGCCGGGCCACCAGCCAGCACCAAGGGGACGCGAAAGAGGAAGUCCUCCUCUCAGCCAAGACCCAGAAGCCCUAAGAAGUGUCCGAAAAUAGCGAAGAAGGGAAAAGCAACUCGUCGAGGGAGAGCCAGGAAGAAAAGUGCUCCAAAAAAGACCGCGGCUGUAAGAACACCUGAGGAAGGGAGCGGGCCAGCACCAUCCGGCCCCAGUGUCCCGCUGAACCAGGAGCUCCCUCAGCAUGAGCUGCGGCCGGAGCCACCGAGUGAGGGGACCCAGCCAGAGGAAAAACUGAGUAAGGGGACCUAGCUGGAAGAGCAAGUGAAUGAGGGGACCCAGCCCGACCCACUGAGUGAGGGGACGCAGGCGGAGGAACAGAGUGAGGGGACACAGCCAGACCCACUGAGUGAGGGGACACAGCCGGACCCACUGAGUGAGGGGACACAGCCGGACCCACUGAGUGAGGGGACUGCAACCAACUCCAUUCUCUCCCUGAGCAGCGAGUAACUUCAGGCCCAGCCCGGAGACCUAGGAGCCACCGGAGGUCUGACCCAGAGAACUCACCAACAGGGUGCGCCCCAUGGUGAAAAUAAAAUGAAUCUGUUAGAGAGAGAGAGACAGAGAACUCCCUCCACUUUUUUUCCCCAAGUCACCACCACUUCUGACACUAUCUUUUUCUCUAGCGUUCUGCUGUUGUGGUCCCUGGCGCAUGCUUGUUUCACAAAACGCCAAGAGUAGAUCAGUGGAUGUCAUUGGGAAAAAAAACAAAAAAAUAAAAAAACAGAAAGUUUACCAUUUCUCAAUGUUUACUAAAGUGACAUCCUAAUAAUACACCUUUUAAGGCAAAGCAUGGGGAAGAACCACAAUGGUCAGCUAGGAAAACACCAAAUGAUUCAAUUAAGUUGGAAAUACUCAUUUAGUUGAGUGGACAUCUGUCAACCUUAAUCUGGUUCAGUACAAUGCUAAUUCUAUAUUGACUCCAAUUUUAUGAAUUUGUUGUUGGUAUAAGACUAUAGGCUUACUAAUAUUCUCAUAAAUGUGGCACAUUACCAGGAUAUUCCUCUUUCAACUGUUUUAGUGAUUAAUGGAAAGAAGUUGUUUAGAGGGAACAAAAUAUUCAUAUAAAAUUAGCAACAGGAACCAUUUGCACAAAUGAGCUAAAAAGUAAAAAGUGUACAGAGGAAUAAAAAAGAGCAAAAAGAUUUGGGAGGCCGAGUAGGGUGGAUCACCUGAGGUCAAGAAUUUGAGACUAGCCUGGCCAUACCAUGGCGAAACCCCAUCUCUACUCAAAAUACAAAAAAUUAGCUGGGUGUGGUGGCAGGCACCUGUAAUCCCAGCUACUCAGGAGGCUGAGGCAUGAGAAUCAUUUGAACCCAAGAAGCCAAGGUUGCAGUGACCCGAGAUUGUGCCAUUGCACUCCAGCUUG
RNAcentral lists this long non-coding RNA (1684 nucleotides) under Homo sapiens (human). RNAcentral describes it as "HSALNT0348444". Lineage: Eukaryota; Metazoa; Chordata; Mammalia; Primates; Hominidae. The record is from RNAcentral.